Molecule: long non-coding RNA, 3291 nt
Organism: Octopus sinensis (East Asian common octopus)
Lineage: Eukaryota; Metazoa; Mollusca; Cephalopoda; Octopoda; Octopodidae
Exons: 2
Source: RefSeq, a predicted model, not a curated record
AUGUAUGUAUAUAUAUAAAUAUAUACCUACAUGCACACACACACACACAAGCACUAAGGUGGGCACACAAAUGCAAAAUAAGGUGGGAAACAUAGUACUUGAUUAUCAAAGGUAGAGUAAUAUUCUUUUUUUGAAAGUUGAAAGAAUCUUCACAAACUGUUUGUCAGCUUUAACGAAAAGUACCUCUCUCUCUCAUAUAUAUAUAUCACAAUACCAGACCAUCAGAUCCUAUUAUACACUGCCGGUCACAAUGCGCUUCCAAUUCUGUCAAACUGCCCAACCAAUGCCAGCAUGGAAAACAGACAAAACAGACAUUAGAUAAUAGUGAUGAUGUUCAUGGGUGGCCUGAGGAAGUUAUCAGUGCCACCAACAAUGCAGUGAAUUGGCAGUGUCGAUUGAACAUCAGAUAAAAUACAUUGUGUGGUUUCUUUCAAUUCUUUGGACUCUAAGUUCAAACCCAUCCCUGCUUUCGGGAUAAAAAUAAAUAACUAAAUAAAUAUAAAUAAGGUUCAAGUCUGCUGAAUGGCAGAAUUCUUAAAGGACCGGAUGGUUUUUUUUUUUAUGCCCUGCAGCAUCUGUUGCAGUUCUUUACAUUCUGACUUCAAAUUCUGCUAGGGGUUCAUGUUCCAUUGGUGGCCAAAGCUAAUCAUCUGACUAUGGGACUACAAUUGAUUAUGGAGCUUGCAAUGUGUAAAGGGUCGUGGCUGGCUGCUAGAUAAAACAGUCAAAUGCUAAUGACUUAGUUUGUUAACAAUAUUGUACUGAGAAAAUCCAAAGGCGUCUUCAGUUAUGUGAUAAUGAUGAUGAUGAUCAUCAUCAAUUAACGUCCCUUUUUCUAUGGUGGCAUAGGCUGGGUGGUUCAAUGAACCAGAGGGCUGGGCAGUUGUGCCAAGCUCCAGUGCCUGCUUUGGCAGAGUUUCUAUGACUGGAUGUUCUUAAUGCCAACCAGUUUAUAGUGUGUACUGUGUGUGCUUUUUUUUUUGUGUGGCAAUAGCCCUUAACGAGAUCACCAAGUACCUACAUGACAAGACCCCUCAUCUGAGUUCGCUAUGGUGUUGAAAGAUGUGAAAUACGAUAGAGUGACAGGAACAGGUGACUUGUUGAAGAAAGGGUGAAUAUAAGGCUUAUCCAACUGGAAAAUGAGAGAGAGAGAGAGAGAUGGUGAGGGCAUACCUUCAAAAGCCAAGGUGAAUAUAAGAGAGGAAGAUAAAUGUGCUAAUGUGUGAAAAUAGUGUGACAUGAUUUGAGAUGGGGAAUGAGUUGGAGAGAGUGAAUAUCGGUUUGAGAAGUGAAGGAAGGAAAUAAAUGUGAAGAAGAGAGGAGGAUGUGAUAAAGUCAUUAGUAAAGUGUUGGGGGUAUAAAUGAUAUCAUUUGCAGUACUUGGAUGAGUAGUAUCAUAGUGAAGAGAUUGAGGGUGGGAUGGGUGUCGGAAGGUGAUAUUAAUAAUAAUUAAAUUCUGCCUGGAUUAACUUUACUGUUUGUCCAUUCAGGGUUGAUAAAAUAAGUACCAGUUGGUCACCGGGGUUGAUGCAGUCGACUUACUCACUCCUUGAAAUUGCUGGCCUUGUGCUAAAAUUCGAAACUGAUUUCAAUAAUAAUUAGAUUCUACUGAAGUCAACUUUACCGUUCAUCCUUUUGGGGUCAAUGCAAUCAUUUUUCCCACUCCUUGGAAUUGCUGGCCUUGUGCCAAAAUUUGAAGCUGAUAUUAAAUAGUAAUUAAAUUUUCUUUUCUCUUUACAUUUGUGUUUCUUUUAUUGAAUAUGUAUCUUGCUGUGCCCAGCCCUCACUCAAAAGUGUUUCAUUUCCCAUUACAUAAUGGAAAGAUAUCAACCACAUCACAAACAAGCAUUCACAACCUCCAGAUCAUAGUCACCACAUGGUUGUUUGUUCUGCAAUAUAUAGCAGUCAAACCACACCUUUCCCCUUUUUUCUCACUUUAUAUUCUAUUUUCUACUCCUUCAUUGUUGUUCUAAUUUUCUCCCUUUUAUUUAUAAGACAAAUGUCCCCUCACAAUCAAUAACUCUGUCCCUUACUCUUGUCCCCUCACAAUCAAUAACUCUGUCCCUUACUCUUGUCUCCUCACAAUCAAUAACUCUGUCUCUUACUCAUCUCUCACUUUCUCAAUUCCUCUCUCUAUCCCUUACCACAUACACACACUCUCUCUUUAUUUUCUCCUCUCUCUUGAUAGAAAAAGGGAUUCUGUUUGUGGCAUAAACUUAGAGCAAAUGUAAUUGAAUGAUUCUUAGGUUUAUUUCUUCCACCUGUAAAAACUGGGUUCUGGGUCUGUGUGGUUUGCUCAGACUAUUAACCAAAUCUGGUCCCUGAUUUCAUAGCAUAGAAAACUGACAGAGAUCCCACCUCACAACGAGAUGGUUGAACAGGAAAAAUUUCCUCUUAUGCACACAUGCACUUAUGCUUGUAAUUGUGCUUAUUCCGACACAGAUACAAGAAAUUACAGAAACACACAUACUGGCCUGCUACACACACUGAUGCACACACACACACACACACACACAUGCAGCAACAGACAAGCUUCUACCCAUUUGCAUAUACAUGUAGAUACAAUUACACAGUCAUGGAUAUAUGCACACAUUAAAACGAAUACAUACACACACAUACACACACAGGGUGGGUCAAAAGUAGUGCCUAAUUCCUGUUUUUGCGUUGAUACGUAUGACUUCUUAAUUGGGGGAUACUUUUGACUCUCAAUUCUUUGUCCAAUGAGUUUGGGACAUCAAAGAGUAUUAACAACAUGAUACAAGAUCCAGAUUCAGUAACUUUCAAAACUGUCGCUAAUAAACCUGCAGAGCAACAACAGCAUCACUUCCCAGAAACUGAGUCCUACUUCUUAUGACCCACCCUGUAUGUAUGUGUGUGUGUGUAUAUAUGUGUGUGUGUGUGUGUAUAUAUAUAUAUAUGUGUGUGUGUGGAUGGGUGUUUGUGUGUGUGUAAACAAUGACUUGUUAAAAGUCAGAUAGGGCAUGGUACUUUACUAGUCAUCUACGACAUAUAGUUGUUAAAGUCACAUAUGAUAUAAGUUAGUCACAUGUGGCAAGAUAAUAUAAUAAAAAACAUAACUAUGAUACUAUGUUGAAGUCAUAUACAAUCAUGAUCCUAUGUUAAAAGUGAUAUAUGACGUGAUACUACUGUGUUAAAAGAUAUGAAUAAUAUUAUACUCUGUUAAUGAUUAUGUGUGAUAUAAUACUGUGUAAGAUAAAUGUUGACUCUUUAUAAUUUAAUUUUUUUAUUACUUUGCAAUAAAACCUUUCAAAAAACUUUUCAAAAAAUAAC